UGAGGGAUGGGCCUGCGGGCCAUUAGCUUGUGUGAGGUAACGGCUCACCAAGGCUGUGAUGGCUUAGCUGGUCUGAGAGGAUGACCAGCCACACUGGGACUGAGACACGGCCCAGACUCCUACGGGAGGCAGCAGUGGGAAUAUUGCGCAAUGGGCGAAAGCCUGACGCAGCGACGCCGCGUGGGUGAUGAAGGCCUUCGGGUCGUAAAGCCCUGUCGCAGGGGAAGAAUAAGCAUCGGUAUAAUACGCCGGUGCCCUGACGGUACCCUGCAAGAAAGCACCGGCUAACUCCGUG
RNAcentral lists this ribosomal RNA (295 nucleotides) under uncultured bacterium. RNAcentral describes it as "partial 16S ribosomal RNA". It matches the Rfam family "Bacterial small subunit ribosomal RNA", at positions 219 to 507 of the family's 1533-position model. The record is from RNAcentral.